GAUGAAGAACGCAGCGAAAUGCGAUACGUAAUGUGAAUUGCAAAUUCAGUGAAUCAUCGAGUCUUUGAACGCACAUUGCGCCCCCUGGUAUUCCGGGGGGCAUGCCUGUCCGAGCGUCAUUGCUGCCCUCAAGCACGGCUUGUGUGUUGGGCCCCGUCCUCCGAUCCCGGGGGACGGGCCCGAAAGGCAGCGGCGGCACCGCGUCCGGUCCUCGAGCGUAUGGGGCUUUGUCACCCGCCCUGUAGGCCCGGCCGGCGCUUGCCGAUCAACCCAAAUUUUUAUCCAGGUUGACCUCGGAUCAGGUAGGGAUACCCGCUGAACUUAAGCAUAUCAAUAAGCGGAGGA
Molecule: unclassified non-coding RNA, 345 nt
Filed under: soil metagenome
Description: partial contains 5.8S ribosomal RNA, internal transcribed spacer 2, and large subunit ribosomal RNA
Rfam family: 5.8S ribosomal RNA (bases 1-119)
Source: RNAcentral